Molecule: ribosomal RNA, 406 nt
Filed under: uncultured bacterium
Lineage: Bacteria
Description: partial 16S ribosomal RNA
Rfam family: Bacterial small subunit ribosomal RNA
Source: RNAcentral
AUUGAACGCUGGCGGCAGGCCUAACACAUGCAAGUCGAACGAGUGGCGGAAGGGUGAGUAAUGUCUGGGAAACAGCCUGAUGGAGGGGGAUAAAUACUGGAAACGGUAGCUAAUACCGCAUAACAUCAGCUGUGCCAAGAUGGGAUUAGCUAUUUGGUGGGGUAACGGCUAACCAAGGAGACGAUCCCUAGCUGGUCUGAGAGGAUGACCAGCCACACUGGAACUGAGACACGGUCCAGACUCCUACGGGAGGCAGCAGUGGGGAAUAUUGCACAAUGGGCUCAAGCCUGAUGCAGCCAUGCCGCUUGUAUGAAGAAGGCCUUCGGUUUGUAAAGUACUUUCAUCGGGGAGGCGUUACCCGCAGAAGAAGCACCGGCUAACUCCGUGCCAGCAGCCGCGGUAAUUC